This 357-nucleotide long non-coding RNA is filed under the name Nicotiana benthamiana. Its description in RNAcentral is "long non-coding RNA (NBEN_LNC015539)". Lineage: Eukaryota; Viridiplantae; Streptophyta; Magnoliopsida; Solanales; Solanaceae. The record is from RNAcentral.
UUUGCAAAUUCGUGAAAAAUUGUGAAGUUGUUGAAUUGAAGUUUUCAAGUGUUCAAGUUCAACGAUUUUAAAUUUUCAAAAAGUUGUUCGUCAAUCCGGUAAACUCGUUUCAACUUUUACGUGCUAAUUAUUAUGGCAUUAUCUCAAUGGGGUGGUUCGAAUAAGGCAGGAUUUAAAGUAGUGCCUUCAAACACUAAGAACUCCGUUCAUCUUGAUGGUGUGUUCAACAUUGUAUCGUACGACAUAGUCCCUGAGCUUCAAGAACUCCAAGGAACAAGAAGAAGCGUUCACCACAGGGGAUAACUGAGUUAAGUCAUGUUCAGGGAAUAAAUAUAUUGUGUAUAAAUAGUGUAUAUU